Molecule: transfer RNA, 74 nt
Filed under: Blautia hydrogenotrophica
Lineage: Bacteria; Bacillati; Bacillota; Clostridia; Lachnospirales; Lachnospiraceae
Also listed under: 4 other names
Description: tRNA-Arg(cct)
Rfam family: tRNA
About the family: Transfer RNA (tRNA) molecules are approximately 80 nucleotides in length. Their secondary structure includes four short double-helical elements and three loops (D, anti-codon, and T loops).
Source: RNAcentral
GUUCCUGUAGCUCAGCAGGAUAGAGCGAUUGCCUCCUAAGCAAUAGGCCGCUGGUUCGACUCCAGUCAGGAACG